GACGAACGCUGGCGGCGUGCCUAAUACAUGCAAGUAGAACGCACAGUUUAUACCGUAGCUUGCUACACCAUAGACUGUGAGUUGCGAACGGGUGAGUAACGCGUAGGUAACCUGCCUGGUAGCGGGGGGUAACUAUGGGAAACGUUAGCUAAUACCGCAUAAUAUUGAUUAUUGCAUGAUAAUUGAUUGAAAGAUGCUAUUGCAUCACUACCAGAUGGACCUGCGUUGGUUUAGCUUGUAGGUGAGGUAACGGCGCUCCUAGGCGGCGAUACAGAGCCGCCCUGCUAUGGCGAUCAGCCACACUGAGACUGUGACCCGGCCCAGACUCCUUCGGGUGGCAGCCGUAGUGCAUCGUCGGCAAUGGACGAAAGUCUGACCGCGCAACGCCGCGUGAGUGUACAAGGUUUUCGGGUCGUAAAGCUCUGUUGUCAGGGAAGAACCGGCGUGAGAGUGGAACGUUCACUCUGUGACGGUAUCUUACCAGAAAGAGACGGCUAACUACGUG
Molecule: ribosomal RNA, 505 nt
Filed under: uncultured bacterium
Lineage: Bacteria
Description: partial 16S ribosomal RNA
Rfam family: Bacterial small subunit ribosomal RNA
Source: RNAcentral